ACUAUAGUACACCCUAGGAACCAUUGCUUCAUUUCCAAAACGACUCAAUGACCCAAUUUUGGCAACUAUACCGUUCCCAAUCCACCCAACCCCAACGACCUAACUACGAUGACAUGGGCACCAAACUCCAUUACGAAAGCGCCAUUGCCCAGAGCCCCUCCGGAUAUUGGGAACAAAUGAUGCCACAUUUGUCAAAUACCACUGGAACUU
RNAcentral lists this long non-coding RNA (210 nucleotides) under Lathyrus oleraceus (garden pea). RNAcentral's name for it is "Pisum sativum (pea) long non-coding RNA (PSAT_LNC020537)". Lineage: Eukaryota; Viridiplantae; Streptophyta; Magnoliopsida; Fabales; Fabaceae. The record is from RNAcentral.